This 351-nucleotide ribosomal RNA is filed under the name Triticum aestivum (bread wheat). RNAcentral's name for it is "partial small subunit ribosomal RNA". The record is from RNAcentral. Lineage: Eukaryota; Viridiplantae; Streptophyta; Magnoliopsida; Poales; Poaceae.
AUGAACAACAAAGGGAAAUUAGCACAAUGUAAAGUGGUGGUGGUGGUGGAUCUCCUCACAUGGGAAUUGGGACCACUCAUCAUAUAUGGGGCUAGCGGUGAAGUCACUCUCACUCUCAAUAUUGUGUCACAAGUCACUAAACUCAUCACCGUACGUCGCCGUGGUCGAAGGGAAAAUCCCAUGCUCAACCAUCUUGUAGUCAUUGCUAUGGAUGAAGGCCGAAGAUGGCACAUCAUCACUUCUGCCAUGGAUGAAGGCCGAAAGAUGGCACCUCAUCACUCUCACCUCCAAAGAUGGAAGCAUCAUCCUUGCUCGUCACCGUGUCGCUCUCCUCCAAAUCUUGGUCCUUGA